RNAcentral lists this ribosomal RNA (213 nucleotides) under Triticum aestivum (bread wheat). Its description in RNAcentral is "partial small subunit ribosomal RNA". Lineage: Eukaryota; Viridiplantae; Streptophyta; Magnoliopsida; Poales; Poaceae. The record is from RNAcentral.
AUGAAAACAUUAUGCUGGAACUGUCGUGUGAUUGGCGAUCCCGCGACGGUUCGAGAACUCCGCGAUCUCGUGGAGAUGAGUUCGCCGACGAUCCUCUGCUUGGUGGAAACUCAGCUGCAAAAGGAUCGUGUAGAGGGUCUUCGUUUUUCUCUUGGUUAUGAUUUUAGUUUUGGCAUUGGUAGUAGUGGGCGCAGUGGCGGUCUUUGUAUCUUU